RNAcentral lists this ribosomal RNA (763 nucleotides) under Challia fletcheri. RNAcentral describes it as "12S ribosomal RNA". The record is from RNAcentral. Lineage: Eukaryota; Metazoa; Arthropoda; Insecta; Dermaptera; Pygidicranidae.
UAUAAAGCUUAAUUAACAUGUAAAUAUUUGUAUUAUCAUAAUAAGUCUACCCCCAUAGACCAUACUAUCUAAAAGAUAAACAUCAUUUAACAUUUAAAACAGUUGAAAGUAUUGUAAAUUUACAUAAUUGUAGAAACAGUAAAGCAAUAUAUUAUUAGCCCAUCUCGUGCCAGCCGCUGCGGUUAAACAAGAAAUAAAAAGCAAUUUAAUUGAUAACCAGAAAUAUAUAUAUAUAAAUAAGAACAAAAAACAUAAACCUAAGGUAAAAUUUGAUUAAUAUAAUCCAAUCUUAACCAACUAAAACAUCUGAAUAAACUUUAUAUUAAACUAGGAUUAGAUACCCUACUAUAAAAAGAAAAAAUAAUAAUAUCAGAAAACUAAAAGAUAAAACUCUAAACUCAAAGGGUUUGGCGGUAGCUUAGACCAGUCAGAGGAACUUGCCCCAUAAUCGACAAUCCACGACAAUCUUACUUAACAUAAAAGCUUGUAUACCGUCGUCUUAAGAUUAUGCUAACAAGCAAUAUUCAACUUACUCAAAAAUAGUCAUACGUCAGAUCAAGGUGCAGCCUAUAGUUAAGAGAGGGUGAGUUACAAUAACAAUAAUUAAACGAAAAUGAAUUCUCGACGAAUACAUAAAAGGUGGAUUUGAAAGUAAAUUUAUAUAUAUAAAUAAAUUGAGUUAUUUGCACUAAGAUAUGCACACAUCGCCCGUCACUCUCACAAACUUGAGAUAAGUCGUAACAGAGUAGAUGUACCGGAAGGU